AACAUGUCUGGAGGGCAUUGCCUAGUCAGUAGCUUGUAUCUUUCCCAAGCUUCAUACAAAGUCUCACCAUUCUUCUGUCUAAAUGUCUGAACCUCCAUCCCAAGUUU
Molecule: small nucleolar RNA, 107 nt
Organism: Arachis stenosperma
Lineage: Eukaryota; Viridiplantae; Streptophyta; Magnoliopsida; Fabales; Fabaceae
Source: RefSeq, a predicted model, not a curated record